This is a long non-coding RNA of Columba livia (rock pigeon), 4443 nucleotides long. RefSeq lists it as uncharacterized. The transcript is spliced from 2 exons. The record is from RefSeq and is a predicted model, not a curated record. Lineage: Eukaryota; Metazoa; Chordata; Aves; Columbiformes; Columbidae.
GUGGCGCGCGUGCGCGGGGUGUCUCGUCAGGCGCGGUGGCUCCGGCUCCGGGGAGAAGCGAGUUGGGAACACUAAAUGUUCCUUUCUUUAAUGUUUAAUGGAGACAGUGUUUAUCUAGAGCAAGUGUAGGAACUUAAGUGAUUUAUUAUCACACUUCGGAGACAGGCUGAGCAGCCGUUGGGGGUAAAAUGCAAAGGAUGCCGGCGACUUUUGGAGGGGAGAUACUGAAUAUAAGAAGUUCUGGAUGGGAAAUCAAGAAAUCAAAUAUAACUUCAAACAGCUGACGUGUACAUCUGCAUGGUAGUUGCACGAAAUGUAAUAUUAACGUACUGUAACACUUUUUUGGUGAUAACAAAUGUUAAACUUGACAAGCAAAAUUCUCAAGUGUUGCAAACCUCGAGUACCUGUUUCUGUGCCUUGUCUUCCAAUAGCAAAAGAAACCAGUGGAAUUACUUUUCAAAGGAAGCAGAGCGUUGUUCCAUGAAGCUAUCAGGUGAACUAUAAACCCCACGCAAUAUUUCUAUAGAUUUCGUGUCUUUCUGCUGAAUUGUGUCCUACCUGCAGCUUUGGGCUGGUUGGGGAUGGCGCCGUCUCUGCUCUUCCCUUCAAGGCCAAACUACAACUUGACGAACUUACACGAUUUUAAUACAUUGAAAAAAAGAGAAACAACCUGAAAAAAAAGAUGCUGAUCUAACACCCACUGGGGUUAUUGGAACUCUGAUUUGCAGUUGGUGUGUUCGCAGGACCAAGGUUAAUAUUCCCAAGAGCAGAAACCUUAUGCUCCUCCAGAGCACCGCGGAUGACCUAUAUAAAGCAUUUAGUAUAUGCAGUUUAUGCCAGUCAAACAGUAUUUGUAUCAUAUUUAUCAAAUUAUUGAAAACUUCUGCAGUUUAUUGCCCGUUUUUCAGCACGCCUCGGUAGCAGAUACCCCUCUGGGCAUGCUUCGUUUCUCUCCAGGUCACUCGGAACACAAAGAUCUCAGAUAAAUAGGGCUGGAGUCUCAUCUGCUGGUGUUCCAAACAGCGUGUCAGCUGUUGACAGCAACCGAGGAGCUGGGCUCUCAUCUUCUAUGACACAAAAAAACCUCCUGAGUCAAUCAUUUAUUAACUUGCAGCUAACUAUAAAGGAAACGUCCGUGUUUGUCGCUGUGCCAGCGGAACACUGGGGCAGGGAAUAAUCCGCCCAGUAUCAUUCCCAGAAGCAGAGCUGCUGGUGCUCCCGUGACUCUCGUCUCAUCUGGCAACGGCAAAUGGGGAAAAAAAUCAACUAUUUGGUGAUGGAAAGUGAUACAGUCUUGACAUCCCACGUCUGAGAAGUGUCAUGAGCUUAAUUUCUGAUAACACUUGUCUUGUUCAAAACUGACAGCUCCUCACUCUGGAAGCUGAAAGUGUUGUUAUUCAUACCAAACACGUUCUGCUCCCUGAGUUCAAACCCAAACUUUUUCAUGGCCAGACUUCACUUGUUAAGUGUAACAAUGGCUCUCAGAUUAAAUGCACCGUAUCUUAGAGGAGUGUAGCCUACAGUUAGACUUAGGCCAAGAUGUUUUUCAGACCUGGUCUACAUGAAGCACAUUAGGUUUCAUCCAUCAUUUAAUUUAGAUGAAAUAAACUGUCAGACUGUGGCUCUUUUUCUUUAACAACUCUUUCUAGCUAACAUAACGAGAUUAAUCCUGCUAAAACCCCAAGAACAUUCUUGCGGGUUUAUUGACUGAUUCACUGAGUGCCUUUAGCCUUCAGAAUGGGGAAGUGACUGCAUUUUUCAAAUGGAACGUAUAAAAUUCUUUAAAGUGUACAAAUAGUCCUUGUUAAUGCGAAGUCAUCUGUUAGUUACCCAAAUAGAUAUUAAGGUUCUGAUUUUCCUUCCAAACUGAGUUGAGUCUUCUAAUGUCUCAGGGCGGGUCAUUGGAAGCCGUUAGAAGAGGUGAAAAUUGGACAAUGCUCAGAAGGUUUGAUCUUCACUUCUUGGCUUCUACCAGCAGACGCUUUCUUCAGACACCAGAAUGGUUCAGAAAAAAAUGCUGAUUUAUUACUUCAUGAAUGAAAUCACAUUUUUUCUUCAUGAGAAUGAACUUAUCUGUCAGUCCUAAACAUGGGUAUCUGCAUCUUCAUAAAUAGGGUCUUCGGAAAAUGUAUUUGAACAGGAAAUUUAAUCCUGGUUUAUGAUAAUUCGAGUCUGUAUUUAUUCAUUAGGAUCCACCUGUAGGCCUUUUAAAUUCUUGAUAUAGCGAACAGGAUUUUUAGAUGUGCUUAUGAGCAUUAUUUAGGGAAGACAGCGGGAAUAAAGAACUUCAUUUAGUUACUUCUGAAAACACCACAUCGAAACAUUUAUAACUGAAACCCUUUCAUUCCUGAAGUUGGGGCUGGCACACGAAGUUAGAGAUGGGAUCAAGGAGUCCAGGGGACUUCCCGGACUGGUCUGGGUGGGUGGAGGUGGGAGGUGCUGGGUGGGCAGCAUGGGGAUGAUUGGGACAGGCACAUUUCUAAUACCGUGUUCUGCCGAAGCACCUCGGGCAAAACCCUGCCCAUAAAGUGAUGUAUCAACUGAGGCUUCCUCAUUCACCCCCACCGUGCAGAAUUCGAAUACGAACAGCUUGUAGAUACGGCAAUAAUGUAGGAGUACUUCUAGCAAAUGAACUGUACUAAGUGUGGCAGAAGACACUUGAGAGCAAAGCUAGUGACAGUAAUUAUUCUAGUCUGAAUUCAUAAUGAUGCAGAUUGCUGAAUCCUGACGGUAAAAGCUUUGAAAUACCCAGCGGUGACAGGCGUGCGGUGACGAGCCGGGGUUUUCACCAGAGAGGUCUGUGCAAAGAACCUUUGCAGGAGAUGGGAAAAAACAUAAUGACGGGCUGUGAUUUUCUGAAUCCGAUCCACAUCAGUAGAAAAUUCUCAAUAUCACUGGCUCACAGAAGCAAGUACUAUUGUCUGUGGUUUCAAAAGCAAAUUUGUGGAGAGAUGUAGCAGGGAUUUAAUAUAUUUAAUAGAGAACUGUGAGCAGAACAGCCCUACUGAAAUCAACCUUCUUGCAUGCUAAUUCUCAUGCGUAAUAGUAACCUAAAUGAAUAAUGUUUUCCAGGGUCAGAAACAGGCACUAGAUCAUUGAAUAGCCACAUUUUUUUUCUGUAAUAUUACUGGAACUCAUUAAUUAGGACAUGAUUUGGAGGCAGCAGCAACAUUAGAUAGGAACUAUUAGAGUGAUCAUCUACUUUGAAAAAAAUAGAUUCAUUUCAGUGAUGUCAAAGAGAAGUAAAACUCACCUAGUUAUCCACAAUGUUAGAGGACAAAGCAGCAAAAACUACUCAGAAAUAGGAGCAUAUAAUGUUUUACCUCAAUCAAACCUGAAAAAUUAUAGAUCAGCUUCACGCAGCUGACACAGGAGGGAGCCAACUGGGUUCAGCACGGCUAAUGGAGCCAAAUUCCAGUUUAAAUCCCUCUUCCCUUUGGACCGCUGAAGAAAUAUCCUACUGGUGAUGGGCUUCUCUCCAUCUUUCCCCUUUUCUCAAGAGCACAAACCUCCUGCAAGCUGACGCACAGAAAGCGCGUCCCUUCCUUCUCUCUUACGCAGCAGCAGAGAUGCUUGGACACUAUUUCAUACCCUUCGUCUAACGUCCUGUGCAGGAAUUAGAAGGAAAAACAAAGGCAGCGAGGAGAGGACUUUAAGGACACCCCCAAAAAUCAGUCUGAUUACUUCUGACUUCAUCACUGCCUCCUCAAACUCCCUACGAAUCAUUCCCCUGUUAAAGAGCCAGGUUACAUUUAGAAAGAUAUAAUCAAGUCAUGAAAUCCUCGCAGGUCGAAAACUAUGAUAGUACCAUGAGGCCACUAGUAGAGAGGAUGUUCUUUAAAAGCUGAGUGUUAGUUCAAGUGAAAUUUAAGGUCACAAAGUUCAGAGGGCUGGUCAGUUUGAAGAGUAAGAUAAACCAGAUAUAACACCUCUGAAAAACUGCAAUUGAUUGCUUUCUAAUUUGAAAACAGCACAUGUCUAGGGGAACUGGCCUGUCAGGUUUUUGACUCACACUAUCAUUUAUUCCAUGUUGUGGAAAACAAACAAACAAACAAACAAAGCAAACCCUUUCAAUGGCAGGAGGAUUGUAAAUGAAAUAUUGCCAAUGAAGCUCGAUCAUUGCCAUGGCAACAGUGCAGCUGCGGUCAUGUCACAAGGAAAAUGGAUUUUAUUGCUUUGCGAUUCCUUGCUUGGCUGCGUGUCAGUGAACAGCGCGUGUAGUACGAGGGGUCCUGUUGCCUCAGCGCGAGACGGAUUUCACCCUGUUAUUGAAGUACAGCUAUGCCAGAGCACGGCAUUUACCUGCAAAAACGAACACUUUGGGUGGUCUCCACCCUUCCAUCCACCUGUCAUUUCUGAUCUUAUCUGCACAUGGUGUGGCUUAUUCUCUACAGAGUCCUGACGCUUGUAAGAAGAUUAAACUGCAGAGCAGAUUUCAAGGAU